This 289-nucleotide unclassified non-coding RNA is filed under the name uncultured fungus. Its description in RNAcentral is "partial contains 5.8S rRNA, ITS2 and 28S rRNA". It matches the Rfam family "Eukaryotic large subunit ribosomal RNA", at positions 668 to 961 of the family's 3401-position model. The record is from RNAcentral. Lineage: Eukaryota; Fungi.
AAGGAGUCUAACAUAUCUGCGAGUAUUUGGGUGUCAAACCCGAGUGCGCAAUGAAAGUGAACGUAGGAGGCACGCGCAAGCUGCAGCUUCGACCGAUCUGGAUCUUUAGUGAUGGAUUUGCGUAAGAGCAUAUAUGUUGGGACCCGAAAGAUGGUGAACUAUGCCUGAAUAGGGCGAAGCCAGUGGAAACUCUGGUGGAGGCUCGUAGCGAUUCUGACGUGCAAAUCGAUCUUCAAAUUUGGGUAUAGGGGCGAAAGACUAGUCGAACCAUCUAGUAGCUGGUUCCUGC